GGUGUUUGUUUUUUUUUCCUUGCCUUGCCACAACCCUGGGGGAAAAGUGGGUUAGAGGCUGUAAGACCUCCUGCCUCUGUUUCAGCAAUACUUCCCCGUCCCUGCCCAGGAGCUCAAGGAACAGCACAGGACCCGGUUUCAGCAGCUUGGCUACAUCAGCCUCUUCUGUCAGCAGCCCUGGAAGCGAGGUGCUGCUGCCUGGUAGAGAACCACUUGAAAAAGACAUCAUCUCUUCCAAGCUGAUGUUUGGCCUCUUUCCAGACCAUAACAUCACUGCGUUUCCCCUGGCGCUUGGGUAUGCCAGAGAGGAGCUGGAAGGAGCACAACAUUCGGGGAAGAUCAUCUAUUUCUGCGGCGCUCAGCUGUCCAAAUGUAGCUGGUGAGAAAGCAAGCUGACUUGGGAAGGUGUCAUACGCAGGAUGUGAAAGGAAUGGGAAAUUCAGCGUUACUGAUUUGCUAAAUAUACACACGCUGCAACUCCAGUUCCUCAAAGGUUCACCGAUGUGGAAAAAUCAAGGAACCAUCUGUGAUCUUUUGGGGAAAACAUUGGUGUUGUAAAUGUUUCCACCGUUCCCUCCUGAUGUUGGCGGUGCCCUGCACUCAAUGCCAAUGCCCUUUAAACCAGGGGACAACAUGGAGUGACUUCUGGCUUAAAGAAAAAAGCAACAAACAGAUAAACAAAGCUGACUUACACUGAAGCAGGAGCCACUGCUCUGCCUGGAUCGCUUUUCAGCAAGAAGAUCUUUGACUGUGUGUUUCACUCGCACUCCUUGGUACACUCGCUUGCCAAAAUCUGUAGUAACUAAGUGAAUGAGAGAAGUGUUAGAGGAGUUCAGCAAAGGCAGAGAGUAGGCGGAAGAGGUUGUUAUGGAAGAAACAAAUUCCCUGCCUCUACACCAAGUUAGGGAGGAAGCACGUAAGACUAUUAUUCAUGCAAAAUCAUCCCUUAGGAACCCCACAGUGAGGGCUGCUCGUCUGCGGAGAACAAAGACUGAGGUGCCCUGCCCUGUAGUUAGCACUGGGUGCCAUGCGGUUUCUCUGCAGCUCUAUCAGUGCCAGGCUGGCUGAUGGUUUAUUUUUUUUUCCAGAGUGCUUGGGGGCUCCCACAUCUCCCCUUUGGAUCAUCAGAAUUCGAUUUAACGGCACAGCCCUGCUUGCUUCCAGCAGAGAUGCUGCGGUUUAGCUCCUCGUUGCCUUUCUGGAGUUGCUGGCUUUCAGCACAUCGCUCUGGGGGCUGAGACAGUUUUGAUCUCAGUGCUGCAAAGGUAGAAGUAGCCCAAAUGGUGGGACUGACCUCUCUAAAUGGUGAUGUGAAUUAGAUUGUGAAGAUGUCAUGAAAGGAAAAGGAGGGUAUGGUCUCAGCCAUGCCACCCUGGAGGCUGAUGGCAGUCCUGCCUGUUCUCUCAAGCUGCCUGGAAUCCAGCAGGACCUGUACAUAAGGUCUGUGUGACUUCUGGUGCAAGGCAUUUGUCCUCUUCCCUUGCCUGGAAAAAGCUUUGAGGUCUAUCUGCCUUGUGUACAGGUGUUCUGACACAAGUGAGGGCAGAGAGGUACAGGGUGCAGUUCCAGGGGAGAUCUUUUAUCCCGGCCAAGGUCUGUGCUGCAAAGAGCUCGCACCUGCGGAGCCAGGGAGGAGUGUCCAGAUGGGCUUUUAUUGGAGUCUUCCAGAGAAAAACUGAAGUUUGAAGUUAAUCCCUUGGAAAACACAAAGCUGUGCUCUCCCGAGGGAACGCCAACAGCCACUCCACAGCUGAUGUGUUUGUCUGAAAUUGUGAUUUAUCUUUUUGCCCGUCUGCUUUCCAGGAAGUGCCGUUUGGGUACAUUUAUCACUUUAAUUCGUGUGGCACGGCAUCCCCAGGUGCACAUGCAUACGGAGAGGUUACAAAGAGAAGAGGAGGAGGGUGGAAGCAACACAAUCUCAAUGCUGGCUUGGGGUUACCCCAGGUGUUUUCUGUUGGGCAUAGCAGUUGCAAUUUUGGGGCAACUGCAGCUUGGCUUUGGUGUUUGAAUACUCACCAGAGAGAGACUUGAGCCAAGACAGGAGGCAAACACAUUGCAAGGACACAGCCCCCAAAAAACUUAUGAUCGAUGUAGUCUAAAUAGGGGUGAAGACAGUCUGCACGCUUACCAGCCAGCAUCUCUGGACAAGCCAAGACAUAGCCAGUAAUGGAUAUAAUCACUUGACAUUGAAAGAAAUUUGCCUGUAUACCGAGACUGGCUCUUCUCCAUGGCCCAAAGAAGUGUCCCUCCCAUAGCCCCUCUUCUGGGCUGAUUUUACUGAGAGCAGUUGGAAGCAGGGGUACCCGUGCUGGCAGCUGGAUUCAAAAGCUCUGGCAGAGCAGGCAUAAGUGGUGCAGAAACAGCUAUACUUCCUGCGUCGGAAUCUUUGCGUGAGUUCCUUUAGAGAAGCACUGCAAUUUGAUGGAUGAGCCAGAACUGCAGAGCACAGCUCACUGGGCUCCACCAUGCUUUGCUGCCUCCAGUAACUCAGGCAGCUGUUGCUGGCUGCAUCCAGCUGAAGAAUCAGGCCUCUCCUCAGCACAGAUCUUUGGCAGAGGGACCCAAGCAAUGCGUACUCAUAUUUAAUUUUCAGAAUGGAGGUAUCUCUGAAAUAGCAUUGCCGAAAAGAAAAGCCGUGACCGGCUUUAAUUCCUUUGCUCAUCAGCCUGCUAUUGCCAAAUCCUACAUCUUUGUUAACUGACCUUGCUUCUGU
This is a long non-coding RNA of Oxyura jamaicensis (ruddy duck), 2713 nucleotides long. RefSeq lists it as uncharacterized. NCBI's taxonomy places the organism in Eukaryota, Metazoa, Chordata, Aves, Anseriformes, Anatidae. The transcript is spliced from 3 exons. The record is from RefSeq and is a predicted model, not a curated record.